UGGGGAAUAUUGGACAAUGGGCGAAAGCCUGAUCCAGCCAUGCCGCGUGUGUGAAGAAGGUCUUCGGGUUGUAAAGCACUUUAAGUUGGGAGGAAGGGUUGUAGAUUAAUACUCUGCAAUUUUGACGUUACCGACAGAAUAAGCACCGGCUAACUCUGUGCCGG
Molecule: ribosomal RNA, 164 nt
Filed under: uncultured bacterium
Lineage: Bacteria
Description: partial 16S ribosomal RNA
Rfam family: Bacterial small subunit ribosomal RNA
Source: RNAcentral